This 239-nucleotide ribosomal RNA is filed under the name uncultured bacterium. Its description in RNAcentral is "partial 16S ribosomal RNA". It matches the Rfam family "Bacterial small subunit ribosomal RNA", at positions 95 to 334 of the family's 1533-position model. The record is from RNAcentral.
CCGGCGCACGGGUGAGUAACGCGUGGGUAACCUGCCUCAUACAGGGGGAUAACAGUUAGAAAUGACUGCUAAUACCGCAUAAGACCACAGCACCGCAUGGUGCAGGGGUAAAAACUCCGGUGGUAUGAGAUGGACCCGCGUCUGAUUAGGUAGUUGGUGGGGUAACGGCCUACCAAGCCGACGAUCAGUAGCCGACCUGAGAGGGUGACCGGCCACAUUGGGACUGAGACACGGCCCAA